This 1463-nucleotide ribosomal RNA is filed under the name uncultured bacterium. RNAcentral's name for it is "bacterial SSU rRNA". It matches the Rfam family "Bacterial small subunit ribosomal RNA". The record is from RNAcentral.
AGAGUUUGAUCAUGGCUCAGGAUGAACGCUGGCGGCGUGUCUAAGGCAUGCAAGUUGAGCGACCCGCUUUGCUUCGGCAAAGUAGGGAGCGGCAAACGGGUGAGUAACACACUGGUAACCUACCUCUAAGACGAGGAUAGCCUGCCGAAAGGUAGGUUAAUACUCGAUGGCCAUAAUUGACUUAUGUUGAUUAUGUAAAGUUCCGACGCUUAGAGAGGGGCCUAUGGCUGAUUAGCUUGUUGGUGAGGUAAAAGCUCACCAAAGCAACGAUCAGUAGCAGGCGUGAGAGCGUGACCUGCCUCACUGGGACUGAGACACUGCCCAGACUCCUACGGGAGGCUGCAGUCAAGAAUAUUCCACAAUGCGCGAAAGCGUGAUGGAGCGACGCCGCGUGCAGGAAGACGCCCUUAGGGGUGUAAACUGCUUUUGUCAGGGAAGAAUUAGUGACGGUACCUGAAGAAUAAGAGGGUGCUAACUCCGUGCCAGCAGCAGCGGUAAUACGGAGCCCUCAAGCGUUAUCCGGUUUCAUUGGGCGUAAAGGGUCCGCAGGCGGUUUGGAAAGUUGAUGGUUAAAUUUUGGGGCUUAACUCCGAAACCGCCAUCAAUACUACCAAACUAGAGGCCGGGAGAGGCAAGUGGAACGCACGGUGUAGUCGUAAUAAGCGCUGAUAUCGUGCGGAACACCAAAUGCGAAGGCAACUUGCUAGAACGAGCCUGACGCUCAGGGACGAAAGCGUGGGUAGCGAAUGGGAUUAGAUACCCCAGUAGUCCACGCCCUAAACGAUGCACACUAGGUAUUGGAAGUAUCGACCCUUCCAGUGCCGUUGAAAAAAGCUAACGCGUUAAGUGUGCCGCCUGGGGAGUACGGCCGCAAGGUUAAAACUCAAAGGAAUAGACGGGGACCCGCACAAGCGGUGGAUCAUGCGGUUUAAUUCGACGAUACGCGAGGAACCUUACCAGGACUUGACAUCUAGCUGCACGCUCCCCGAAACGGGAGAAGCCUUAGAGGGUGCUAGACAGGUGCUGCAUGGCUGCCGUCAGCUCGUGCCGUGAGGUGUACCCUUAAGUGGGGUAACGAGCGCAACCCUCGUCCUAUGUUAAAUGUACAUGGGAGACUGCCGGCGCAAGCCGGAGGAAGGUGAGGACGACGUCAAGUCAGCAUGGCUCUUACGUCCUGGGCGACACGCAUGAUACAAUGGCCAAUACAAAGGGUAGCCAAAUCGCGAGAUGGAGCUAAUCCCAUAAAGUUGGUCUCAGUUCGGAUUGAAGGCUGCAAUUCGCCUUCAUGAAGUUGGAAUCGCUAGUAACCGCGUAUCAGCCACGACGCGGUGAAUACGUUCUCGGGUCUUGUACUCACCGCCCGUCACACCACGAAAGUUGGCAACACCCGAAGCUUCUUUGGUUAAUUAAGGGAGUUAAGGUGGGGUCAGUGAUCAGGGUGAAGUCGUAACAAGGUAACCGUA